UCCAAGAAAAUUUCUUGUUAAGCUACAUUACUUGUAUAGUUUAUAUUAUAUUUUUGGUAUAUCAAAUGUCUUAUUGGAAAUUUUUGGGCUGAAUUUACGAUUCAAUGUGUUAUGCGUACAUUGUGGGGAAUUUUCUAGAAACAGCUGUGGUGGGUUGAAGGAAGUGCAUUUUUCUGUCCUUUCCCAAAGCUUUAGCCUGUAAGAGUAUAUGCUUUCAUGAGCAUUAAGCAGUUUCUGUUUGUGCAGAUGAGUGGAGAAGAUCUAGGUG
Molecule: unclassified non-coding RNA, 268 nt
Filed under: Hevea brasiliensis (rubber tree)
Lineage: Eukaryota; Viridiplantae; Streptophyta; Magnoliopsida; Malpighiales; Euphorbiaceae
Source: RNAcentral